GGCCCGUUGGUGUAAUCGGUAACAUUCCCGGCGGUGGAAAUUCCCCGUCUGCAUACGUGCCGCAGGAAGACAUCGGUUCGAGUCCGAUACGGGCCA
Molecule: transfer RNA, 96 nt
Filed under: Neurospora africana FGSC 1740
Lineage: Eukaryota; Fungi; Ascomycota; Sordariomycetes; Sordariales; Sordariaceae
Description: tRNA-Und (NNN) (tRNA-Und-NNN-3-1)
Rfam family: tRNA
About the family: Transfer RNA (tRNA) molecules are approximately 80 nucleotides in length. Their secondary structure includes four short double-helical elements and three loops (D, anti-codon, and T loops).
Source: RNAcentral